AUUGUCUUUUACAUUAGGUUUUGGUCAAAACAAAGUUUUGCCCGGGCCUCAUCUCUUUACAUCGCAAUCUGCAGCUCAUUUGUUUAGUUGUUGUCACACAUACUGCAACCCACCUUCACCAGCAUCGGCGAUGAGAUAGUGGUCCUGAGGGCUCCAGCGACAUGCGAGGAAUCGGGGUAUGACUUCUUCAUUUACCCACAAAUUCACUGAAGCAGAUUCGACUAUGGUUUUUGCGGUUUUCCAAGCACUAGAGGUACGUUGUGCAUCUGUAUAUCUUUCAUGCUUUCACUUCUGGAUUUGGAAAAAUCCCUUGAUUAUAUUUUUGUGAAUCCUUAUCUCUCUCACGCUUCCACACAAGCUUCUAUCCACAAUCUCCUGGAUUUGUUCGAAUCCAAAUCUUUUGGAUUUGGAAAAAUCCGUUGAUUCUGUUUAUUCUUCGCAGGUAUGUUGUGAAUCCCUAUCUCUCUCAUGCUUUGUGUGAGGCUUUUAUUUACGAUCUUCUGGAUUUGAAAAAAUCCCUUGAUUGUCUCUGUGAAUCCUAAAUCCCUUGCUUGUCUCUGUGAUUCUCUCUCAUGCUUUGUCACAAGACUUGGAUAUAUGGCAAAUACAUCAUGAGAUCAAUCAACUCUGCAGCCCUCAUAGUCUUCACAAGACUAAAUUGAUGUGUUUUUUAUAGCAAAACUUUUUCAUAGAAAACUUUGCUUGCAUAGUUAGGACCCUUUUGCAUUAAAGAAAAUCUCUACUAAAUACCUCUUUCCAUUUUCUCUAUGUUUAAUGCUUGGCUUAGUGAUUGGAGAUUAUGAACAGACAGAACUGCAAGGCUGAUUCUAAGUGCACACCUCAUCCGGGUGCGGAAGGAGAUGUUGUUCUUCAAAGAGAGAAGGGGAGCUAAGGAAUGAGAAGAGAGAAAUAUAGCGGUUCUACAAAGAGAGAAGGGGAAUUGAGGAAUGAGAAGUAAGAGAGAAAUAUAGCUAGGUUAGAGAGAAACGAAUAUUGCUGAGGUGAUUGUGACAAAUGGAGAUGUUUGGUGAUCUACUCCCUCUCACCAUUUUACAAUGCUAGAGACAAUGUUAAUAGCAAUAGCAAGGGUCCUGUUCCAAGUAAGUAGGACUGCGCCAUAUGCUUAUUGUAAGUAUCAAACAUCAAGGAUAUCUCUUGCCAUUGGGAUCUUGACAAGGCAGGAUCUUCUGGCCUCCAACAUGAAGACAGUCUUUCCUAAUUUAAGUAUAAGAAAAGACAUACAAAGCAUAGGAGCAGAUCUCAUGCUGGAAGAGAAAAAAAAUAGGUUAUGAAAAUCAGAUAGAUUUCAACAAGUGAGGUUGGAUGUUCUAGCCGCGAGCCUCUUGCGGGUUUUUCAAAUACAAACCAAGGACCUGAAAUAUAAUGAGUGAUGUUUCUGAUGGGCUUAGAGCCAAAAUUCGAGCCAUGUUGGUGACUAACUUAUAAAAGCUGCAUAGGGUUGCCAACUAUUGUUUUUCCUCUUUAUUAUCGUGUACCAUUGUUCCAUUAGACAUAAAUUGAUGUUAUUGAUUUC
This is a long non-coding RNA of Lotus japonicus, 1534 nucleotides long. RefSeq lists it as uncharacterized. NCBI's taxonomy places the organism in Eukaryota, Viridiplantae, Streptophyta, Magnoliopsida, Fabales, Fabaceae. The transcript has 4 exons. The record is from RefSeq and is a predicted model, not a curated record.